Molecule: transfer RNA, 74 nt
Filed under: Psenopsis anomala (melon seed)
Lineage: Eukaryota; Metazoa; Chordata; Actinopteri; Scombriformes; Centrolophidae
Description: tRNA-Lys
Rfam family: tRNA
About the family: Transfer RNA (tRNA) molecules are approximately 80 nucleotides in length. Their secondary structure includes four short double-helical elements and three loops (D, anti-codon, and T loops). Further hydrogen bonds mediate the characteristic L-shaped molecular structure. tRNAs have two regions of fundamental functional importance: the anti-codon, which is responsible for specific mRNA codon recognition, and the 3' end, to which the tRNAs corresponding amino acid is attached (by aminoacyl-tRNA synthetases). tRNAs cope with the degeneracy of the genetic code in two manners: having more than one tRNA (with a specific anti-codon) for a particular amino acid; and 'wobble' base-pairing, i.e. permitting non-standard base-pairing at the 3rd anti-codon position.
Source: RNAcentral
CGCUAGGAAGCUAAACUGGGUUCAGCGUUAGCCUUUUAAGCUAAAAACUGGUGGCUCCCAAUCACCUCUAGCGA